AUUUGGGGUCUAUAACAUUUCUCUUUAUUUUCUCAUUAUGGGCUAUUUAUUAUUUUAAGACAUGACUUUUUCUCUUUCUACUUAUUAUUAUUAGUUAUUUCUUGUGUUAGAUUAUUAAACCAUAGUUAUUCAGUUAGAUGUAAUUCUUAUGGGAAGUGAUUGAGACCCCCCUCCACCACCCCCCACACACAUGUGGGGGUUGGUGAUUGGAGGAGGAGGAAAAAACAAAACAAAACAAAACAAAAAAAUUGGCCAAUCAUAGGCCAGAGGGGCUCAUGGGGGUGCCCUCUGUGGGGGUCCAAAUCAUUUUUCAAUUCUUAUUUUGCGUGGUUAGCAUUACACUUAAAAUAAUUUAGAUCACACAUUAAUUUUUACGCGUACAUUUUUGUAAUUUUUGUGCAUGUAGCUCAUUAAUGUUUAUUGUAUAAUAUCUUUCAAUUUCAUUGACCAAUCCCAAUAAUAAAUAUUGAUUGAAUAUUUACAGUCAAUACCCAAAUAUUGAACUUCUUAUCUUUUUAUCUUAUGAAAAAGCUCAAUGACGAAGAACAACAACAACGCAGAUCCUCUUAACACUUUUUCUCAGCAUUGGAUGCUGAUGAAUAUGGAGGUGAUGGAAGCUGAUUUCAUGCAAAUGAUAUUGAAUGAAGAAAUUGAAGCCCAGAACAAUUGUUUGGAUGAUGAGAAAGAAUUUGGGCCUAUAUCAAGUUCAAGAGAUGAUCAUCAUUUAAUACAAGUAAACUUCACAAAGGAUAUUCAUGAUACUGAGAAGCUAAUUCAAAAGAAAAAUGAAGCUUAUUCUCAAAUUGCUGAAAAAUUACUAAAAGGAACGGUGGAUUGGAACCUUGUAAUUUUAUAAUUACGACAUCUAUAUAGGAACUCUUUCAAAUAUCCUAUAUCAUCGAGGAGGAACGAAAUGGAGACUUUGCAGCAAUGUUUGAAGGAAUUUCGGCCUUCAAAGAACCCUAACCCUAACUGAGGGAGAGACUCUCAGAGAGUUAUAAUUGGUAAAAACUCACCACCUGGAUGCCAUGUUAUUUCAAAGUUCGAGCACCUACCACUACAUUAUUCAAAUAGUUUUUGGGCAUGGAAGAACGAAGUCGAGAAUUUGCAAAAUUGUCUCUCAGAGCUUCAUCAUUCGAAGAACCCCAUCCGAGUAAGGGGAGCUAUUGGAGCAUACUCUCAGGACUAACAACUCAAUUGCUUUGUAAAGAGUUUGAACUAUCAGAUACAACACGACAGUAACAGUCUUGCAGAGGAGAAGAAGCUUCUUAGAGAGAUAAAACAGAAUGAAGCAAAAAUAAAUAAUAUUAAACUUAAUAAUAAUAAUGUUAAUCCAGAAGCU
Molecule: non-coding RNA, 1342 nt
Organism: Camellia sinensis
Lineage: Eukaryota; Viridiplantae; Streptophyta; Magnoliopsida; Ericales; Theaceae
Source: RefSeq, a predicted model, not a curated record